This 425-nucleotide ribosomal RNA is filed under the name uncultured bacterium. RNAcentral describes it as "bacterial SSU rRNA". It matches the Rfam family "Bacterial small subunit ribosomal RNA", at positions 8 to 429 of the family's 1533-position model. The record is from RNAcentral.
AGAGUUUGAUCCUGGCUCAGAUUGAACGCUGGCGGUAUGCUUAACACAUGCAAGUCGAACGGCAGCAUGUUAUGUAGCAAUACAUGAUGAUGGCAAGUGGCGGACGGGUGAGUAACGCGUAGGAAUCUGCCUUAAAGAGGGGGACAACCCGAGGAAACUCGGGCUAAUACCGCAUAAUCUCGAGAGAGAAAAGCUGGGUAGCAAUACCUGGCGCUUUAAGAGGAGCCUGCGUCUGAUUAGCUAGUUGGUAGGGUAAAGGCCUACCAAGGCGAUGAUCGGUAGCUGGUCUGAGAGGAUGACCAGCCACACUGGGACUGAGACACGGCCCAGACUCCUACGGGAGGCAGCAGUGGGGAAUAUUGGACAAUGGGGGGAACCCUGAUCCAGCAAUACCGCGUGUGUGAAGAAGGCCUUAGGGUUGUAAA